Molecule: small RNA, 408 nt
Filed under: Histoplasma capsulatum
Lineage: Eukaryota; Fungi; Ascomycota; Eurotiomycetes; Onygenales; Ajellomycetaceae
Also listed under: 1 other name
Description: hypothetical RNA
Source: RNAcentral
ACAAUUUACUCUUGAUAUUGCGAGAAUAAAUCACCCCCUAUACGGAGUAGUUCUGAUGGAAGCAGGUAAUACUUCGGGCAUGGCACAAACUGCAGAAUACUCAGGCGGGAAUCUUGGUUGCCCUAUUCUACCGCUUCUUCAACCGUUCACUCCUCCAUCUGCAGUAGCCACGUUGGGUGAUGGCGAAUUUCAUAAGCAGCUUUCGUUUGUUCUUCAGAGAUAACUAUGAAAGUCUACCUUAAACAGCCAAACAUGAACCUCCCGUCUAACAUGAAUGUCUUUGUUGUCGUACAAUACCAGUAAGAAUGACGGGGAGGCAGAGGGUUGAACUUAAGAUAGCCAAAGAUGAGCGGGUUGCAUCUCUUGUUCCUGAUGAAUACCAGAUCGCCUGAUACAGAGAGUGAAGGA